AAGAUUUUAAGUUAAAAUCAAACUGCUAACCUUCAAAGUUAAAAUUACUUUAAAUUUAAGUAAAUCUUA
This 69-nucleotide transfer RNA is filed under the name Mileewa lamellata. RNAcentral's name for it is "tRNA-Trp". Lineage: Eukaryota; Metazoa; Arthropoda; Insecta; Hemiptera; Cicadellidae. The record is from RNAcentral.